Molecule: long non-coding RNA, 587 nt
Organism: Acyrthosiphon pisum (pea aphid)
Lineage: Eukaryota; Metazoa; Arthropoda; Insecta; Hemiptera; Aphididae
Exons: 3
Source: RefSeq, a predicted model, not a curated record
AGAACCAAAUUGUCUUUGAUAUAAUUUUCAAGACUCCAGAAGCUGCUUUAGGACCAGAACAACAUAUAAUUGGAUAUGCUGAUAAAAAGCUGAUACUUGAUAUGGACAUGCCAAAUCCAUCUAAGAAAAAUGCAGCUCUAAACAGAACAUUACUGGAGUUAACAGAAAAGCUAUUACAAUUUAAUCCAUCACAAAAAGAAAUGUCUACGAAACUAAUAGAAGAAUAGGUAUUCAUUACUUCCAACAUUUUUAAAUAAUUAUUUACAUUAACAUACAAUUAUUAUGAUCAGUUGUAAACUUCUGUAUUGCUAAAUAAUAUAAUAUUUGUUUUGGGUUAUUUCAAAAGUUGAAGUUACAUCAUUUCUCUUUUAAGAGAUUACUUUUUAUUAUAUUGACAAUCACAUAAUAGUUUUUCACGUUUUACUUCUUCGAUGUGCAAUAACUUUAAAAAAUUUACAAUGAUGCGUUUAUUUAGUUUGUGUAUGUAAAAAUGUACCUACAUUAAUUUUAAGGAAAAACGAUAAUUUUGAAUAACAAGUCAGUUUUCUACAAUUGUUGAGGUGUGCAUAUUUGAGCUUUUUUUUGUC